UGAGCAUGAAAAAUAGACAUUAUCAUACCUGCAUUGAGGUAUAUUAUAGAGUUAAUGAGAAAUGUUAUAUCCACUCAUGUAAAGAUAAAAGCUCAGUGUUCAGAGAAGCAAAUGCACAAACACACAAAUAUAUGGCUAUCUUCCUGCUUCCUUAUACCUUCAGGAAACAAGAUGCUAAAUUGGAUAAUACAAAAAUAAUGAACAUGUUCAGCCUAUCAUACCCGGCAGCUACCUAUCAUAUAGAAAAAUCUAAUAACGAAGGAAACUAGGUAUAAAUUAACAGUUCCAUAAUAAUAACAAACUUGCUAAUACAAAACAGAUAAAGAUCAAAUCUUUAAAACCACAACAGGGUCCAGCAUUGUCAAAGCUACAAAACAUGGCAAAACACACAAAAUUUAUGGAGAAAUUCACUAAGCAAGUAAAAUUCGAUAUAUUCUAUACCAGAUCACAAAAACAAGAGUAGCACAAGGUACGUAUGAUUAUGCAUGAAACAAACCGCAUAGAAGAUUAAAGUUCGAAACUUAAAAUUUCCAUUUACCAAAGCAAGAAAGAAAAAUUAU
This 560-nucleotide unclassified non-coding RNA is filed under the name Hevea brasiliensis (rubber tree). Lineage: Eukaryota; Viridiplantae; Streptophyta; Magnoliopsida; Malpighiales; Euphorbiaceae. The record is from RNAcentral.